AAGACUAUACUUUUAGGGAGCAUUUCUAUAGUUCCUUACUAGAGAAGUUUCUCUGAUCAUGUGGAAUACCUGAAACCACAAGGAAGAGUGGCUGGCUUUUGUUGUUGUUUUGCUGCAACUACCUAUUGCCAUUGAUGAUCGUUCUUCUCUCCUUUUUGGAGAGCAAGAACAAAGGAACGCAGUCUGUGUGGU
Molecule: small nucleolar RNA, 192 nt
Organism: Spermophilus dauricus (Daurian ground squirrel)
Lineage: Eukaryota; Metazoa; Chordata; Mammalia; Rodentia; Sciuridae
Gene: U3
Rfam family: Small nucleolar RNA U3
About the family: Small nucleolar RNAs (snoRNAs) are involved in the processing and modification of rRNA in the nucleolus. There are two main classes of snoRNAs: the box C/D class, and the box H/ACA class.
Source: Ensembl